Molecule: long non-coding RNA, 2060 nt
Organism: Xiphophorus hellerii (green swordtail)
Lineage: Eukaryota; Metazoa; Chordata; Actinopteri; Cyprinodontiformes; Poeciliidae
Exons: 2
Source: RefSeq, a predicted model, not a curated record
AGAAGGACGAUGGUUCUGUGCCAUGUCCAAUAUGAGUUUUUUAAAAACCCUGUUAGCUUGGAUACUUUCUUCAUCACCUCGCGGUCGCGCUCUUCUUUUUCUUUCGUUCCUGCGCUCCGCUGUCAUUCAUUCUGCUGUCCGCCAUCUUUAGAAAUCCCUCCCUGAUGCUCCGCCCCACAGCGUAAGAAGCGUCCAAUCUGGGCCAAUAAUAAUCAAGCAUUCAUGAUGGACGUUUGCCAGAACAAAUCAGACAUUUUUUCCAACAACACCGCCAAAAUCCUCUUAGCCAGUGAUAAAAUUAAGACAUUCUGACCUUAUUCAUUCACAAAAAUACAAAGCAUCUUUGGGGCCCCCGAAGCGCCGGGGCCCCGGGGUAAGCCCUUGCUAAAAUCCGGGCUUGCGGAUGCUUGAAAGCCUUUAUGUGGUCAAACAUACAGAGGAAAUAACUGUGGAAAAAAACAGUUCUGAUGAUUUUUAGCUAACAGUUAAGGAAUCAGUUAAAGUUAAAAUACUACACCAGACCAAUUAAAAAAACAAAACCAUUUUUAAAAACAGAAACGUUGGGCUUAUUGGAAAAGCAUGUUUAAAACCUGCAUAACGGUUUUGAUUUUCAAAAGGUGCUUUAAAUCUGAAAAACCAAACUCAUCGGGACAGAUUUCAUUGCUCAAUAUGACAUAAUAAUACAAAUGUGUUGUCUCGUUAUAAAUACUAUUACUGGUAAUAUUGCCAUAUCAAUCAACACACAUAAUCCAAAGUGUACAACAAAGGCUUGAUUCUAUUUAACCACGUAGCGUUAAAAAAAAAAAAAACCCCAUUAAAAUCGCAGGAAUGUCUAAGUCAUUAGAUGCUAAAGAUAAAAAAAAAAAAUGUGUGUUUGCCUCAAACAUUUGCACACCUCUCUUUGCACACACGAGUAAAUCCUUGUUACGGAAAAGGAGUUAUCUCAUGCAUGCACUGCUCUGCACCUUUAUCACGGAUGUCAAAACCUAAGCCUGUCUUAAGCACUUGGAUUUUCACAAAUGGCAUAAAUCUUCCCGCAUUAAUCGGGUCAGCCACAUCAGUUAUAACCUGAGCAGUACAGCAUAAGCUGCAGUAAAUACACCUUCUGAGUGUGUGUGUGUGUGUGUGGGCGUGCGUGCGUGUGUGUGUGUGUGUGUGGGUGUGUGUGUGUGUGCGCGUGUGGGGGGGUGUGUGUGUGUGUGUGUGUGGUAGUCUGCACUGCUUAUGUGGAGCUCGUAAAGAGUCGGAGGAGUGUUGCAACAGGUUUGGCCGAGGCUCCCCUAAACAAACAGUCCACACCUGUCUUCCGCUCCUUUCUCAGUAUAAACAGAGUUUUUUUUUCUUCCUUUCUCACAGAUACACAAGGCUUCUUGUUAAACUGCCCCGACAACAGGAGCUGACUUGAAACGCGACGCGGCGCUUUCAGCAUUGUGAAUGGAAGGUGCUGUUGCAUCACCUCCAUGCCACUGACGGAGAGAGAGACGGAUCGGUUGAGUCAACCUUGGCUGUUUGAUGGAUGCAUACGUUUGCUCUCUGUGUAGGCCUCUGUGUCUGAGAAGACUUAUGAUGAAAUGUUUGCUUCUUUCCUGCGUCUUACUUACCUUGUAGGAGGUUUCUGGAAAUAUGCACGUACUGCGGAGUGAUGAUUGGUUACCGAGUACAUUUGUUCAGGUUUUCGGCAUGAGAACCGAACUUUUAUUCUGUGAACUCUAAAUCUUUAGAUUUAAAAAAUAUAGACGUUAAUUGUCCUCUAUGAAAACUUAAUUGGUACUUAUGAUGUGAGCUGUCAGUGAGUCAACUGAGAGCUAAAAUCAGGUCAAUAGAGAUUAAAUAAUGUGUAUGGGAAUAAAUUCCUAAUGAACUAAACUGCGAAUACACAAUUUUCUUGCCACAGAUAUAUCUAGUAAUUGGUUUUACUUUGGUUGAAAUGAGGAGAAAUUAAGAUAAUUGUGUGAAGUUUACCUGACCCAUGUCAUACAGAUUAAAAUACAGUUAUUCCUGGUUCUCACCAAGUGAAUGUAAACUUUUGAAAUAAAGGAGUUAUAAAAAAAGAAACAUCU